Long non-coding RNA from Canis lupus familiaris (dog), 576 nucleotides. RefSeq lists it as uncharacterized. NCBI's taxonomy places the organism in Eukaryota, Metazoa, Chordata, Mammalia, Carnivora, Canidae. The record is from RefSeq and is a predicted model, not a curated record. The transcript has 3 exons.
GACCUGGGGCAGGAGGGAGAGGUGAAACUUUGCUGGGCCCCCAUGAGGAACUCAGAAGUAAAGACAGGGAGGAAAAAGCCCUCUGGAGGGUGAGGAGGUGUCCAUAAAGACCUGCCUCAGGUUUCUGGAAUUUCCCAAGCCAUGCCUCCUCUCUCAGGUGAGCACUCGGCUGUUAGGAACCCACUUGGGAUCCAACAGAGCUGGAUUCGAAUCCACACUCUACCACGUUACCCAUGGGACCAUAAGCAGAUGACUGAUGACUUGUGCUGUUUCACCUUGGGAACACAGAAUCUCCUUAAAGAAAUGGAGCCCACGCUGAACCUCCCUUGGUGACGUGGCCAUGGCUUCUAAUGAGAGCAGUUCUAACACCAAUGCAUUUAUUAUCCUCAGACUCUAAGUAAAAGAGGAACUCCCACAGCAUGCUCGGGAGCCAGCCCUCACUGGCUCACAAGAAUGAACUGUCCAACUUUCCAGAACCUUGUGAGCUGCUCGUUAAAGUCAUACAACAUUCGGAAUUCACUUAUAUAAACUGACAACGUCACAUUAAAGACAAAGAUAAUAAAUAUUGAAAACUCA